GACGAACGCUGGCGGCGUGCUUAACACAUGCAAGUCGAACGGAAAGGCCCUGCUUUUGUGGGGUGCUCGAGUGGCGAACGGGUGAGUAACACGUGAGUAACCUGCCCUUGACUUUGGGAUAACUUCAGGAAACUGGGGCUAAUACCGGAUAGGAGCUCCUGCUGCAUGGUGGGGGUUGGAAAGUUUCGGCGGUUGGGGAUGGACUCGCGGCUUAUCAGCUUGUUGGUGGGGUAGUGGCUUACCAAGGCUUUGACGGGUAGCCGGCCUGAGAGGGUGACCGGCAACAUGGGGACGGAGAUACGGCCAAGAUUCCUACGGGAGGCAGCAGUGGGGAAUAUUGCACAAGGGGCGGAAGCCUGAGGCAGCAACGCCGCGGGGGGGAGGACGGCCUUCGGGUUGUAAACCGCUUUCGCCUGUGACGAAGCGUGAGGGACGGUAAGGGGUAAAGAAGCACCGGCUAACUACGU
RNAcentral lists this ribosomal RNA (467 nucleotides) under uncultured bacterium. RNAcentral describes it as "partial 16S ribosomal RNA". It matches the Rfam family "Bacterial small subunit ribosomal RNA", at positions 28 to 506 of the family's 1533-position model. The record is from RNAcentral.